CAGCACCUCAAGUGGUCAGGAUGAUUAUUGGGCCUAAAGCAUCCGUAGCCGGCGCUGUAAGUUUUCGGUUAAAUCUGUACGCUCAACGUACAGGCUGCCGGGAAUACUGCAGCGCUAGGGAGUGGGAGAGGUAGACGGUACUCGGUAGGAAGGGGUAAAAUCCUUUGAUCUAUUGAUGACCACCUGUGGCGAAGGCGGUCUACCAGAACACGUCCGACGGUGGGGGAUGAAAGCUGGGGGAGCAAACCGGAUUAGAUACCCGAGUAGUCC
RNAcentral lists this ribosomal RNA (270 nucleotides) under uncultured archaeon. RNAcentral describes it as "partial 16S ribosomal RNA". It matches the Rfam family "Archaeal small subunit ribosomal RNA", at positions 477 to 747 of the family's 1478-position model. The record is from RNAcentral.